AUGGGCAGCAAGAUGACUUCCGCCACCAGGGUCGUGCAGGUAGUGAAACCACACGGUCCAUUAAUAAAGUUCCCUAACAGAAGAGACAAACCUAAACUCAGUGCCUCAGAAGCUCUGGGGUCUGCUGCGCUCCCCUCCCACUCCUCUGUCAUUUCAUAGCAUCCUAAAGGAAGUACGAUUUACUGAUGCGCCAGGGGCCACCAGACACUGCAGAAAUUAUAAAAUCAUUACCUCAGAAAUACAGAAGGAAACCUGUGUCUCAAGAGGAAAUGGAGUUUAUCCAGCAUGGGGGUCCAGAGUGA
RNAcentral lists this long non-coding RNA (302 nucleotides) under Mus musculus (house mouse). Its description in RNAcentral is "long non-coding RNA chr11:114664607-114664909". Lineage: Eukaryota; Metazoa; Chordata; Mammalia; Rodentia; Muridae. The record is from RNAcentral.